UACGUAGGUGGCAAGCGUUGUCCGGAUUUACUGGGCGUAAGGAGCGCGCAGGCGGUCGGUCAAGUCGAGUGUGAAAGCCCCGGGCUCAACUGGGGAGGGUCACUCGAAACUGAUCGACUCGAAGGCGGGAGAGGGAAGCGGAAUUCCCGGUGUAGUGGUGAAAUGCGUAGAUAUCGGGAGGAACACCAGUGGCGAAGGCGGCUUCCUGGCCCGUUCUUGACGCUGAGGAGCGAAAGCUAGGGGAGCGAACGGG
Molecule: ribosomal RNA, 253 nt
Filed under: uncultured bacterium
Lineage: Bacteria
Description: partial 16S ribosomal RNA
Rfam family: Bacterial small subunit ribosomal RNA
Source: RNAcentral